Long non-coding RNA from Macaca fascicularis (crab-eating macaque), 1613 nucleotides. Lineage: Eukaryota; Metazoa; Chordata; Mammalia; Primates; Cercopithecidae. The record is from Ensembl.
UUUUUUUUUUUUUUUUUUGAGAUGGAGUCUCACUCUGUUGCCCAGGCUGGAGUGCAAUGGUGUGAUCUUGGCUCACUGCAACCUCCUGAGUUCGAGGGAUUCUCCUGCCUCAGCCUCCUGAGUAGCUAGGAUUACAGGUGCCCACCAUCGUGCCUGGCUAAUUUUUGUGUUUUUAGUAGAGACAGGGUUUACCCAUGUUGGUUAGGCUGUUCUUGAACUCCUGACCUCAGGUGAUUCGCCAGCCUCAGUCUCCCAAAGUGCUGGGAUUACAGGCCUGAACCAAUGUGUCUGGCCUUAGUGAUGCUUCUUAAUCAGAAUAUAGCUCCUGCUGAUUAACUGAUAAAACUGUAAUUGUGUUGUAAUAGUUUUCCCUCUGCAAGAGGAAGUAUCAGUAUAAUACUUUCUUUAAAUGCUAUUAAAAAAUAAUGCUCCUAAACAAGAUUUUAAAAUGCCCUACCAGAGACUAUAAACAGUGGGUCAAAUGUUUGCUUAAAAAAAAAAAGCCAAAAAUUACAUAGCUCAGUAAUUACUGUCACAUUGGAAGGCUAUCAAAUUAGUGCAAUUAUCCUGUCAUUACCUAAAAAAAUGAUGGGCAAACUACGGACUGUGGGUCAAAUAUCCACAAACUGCUCCUGUAAAUAAAAUUAUUGGAACACAUCUAAACUCACUCAUUUAAGUGUUGUCUACAGCUGCUUUCUUGCGACAGCAGUGUUGGUUAGUUGUGAGAGAAUCCAUAUGACCCACAAAGCCUAAAAUAUCUAUCAUCUGAAUAUAUACAGAAAAAGUUUACCAAUCCCUGGCCUAAAAUAGUUUUGGAGCUCUUACUUUGUUUCUUGUUGAAUUUUAGAAACAUGGGAAGUUUUCUGAAUAGCAUCAAUGUUGCAAAUUUUAAUUUGUUAAGAUAGACUUGAUUUUUCAGAAAUGCCAACAGUCAUUUGUGUUAAAGAAUGGUAAAUGUUAAAAUAAAUUUUUGGUGCUGCAAGGAAAUAGCACUCAAACAUCAAUUUAAUUUUCUCAGCAAGGCAAUUUUUACUUCUAUAGAAGUGUGCAACUCGUGAUGGAGCAAUGGCGAGAGCACACCUGAACAAGGGAGGGGAAGGGGUUUUAUUCCUGACACAGGUAGCCCCUACUGCUAUGUCAUUCCCCUAUUGGCUAGGGUUGGACCACACAGUCUAAGCUAAUUCCAAUUGACUGUUUUAAAGAGAGCAGGGGUACGAGCUGGAGUGGUAGGGUGAGUUGUUGGCGUGAAGGACGGUUACAGAACAGGUGACUCAGGAUGAUUCAGGUUAGAGCAGGUGACCACAGGUGUCUCAGGACAGAGCAGGUGACCGGGGGAAUAGAUGUGAACUACUGAUGAGAAAUGGUGGGAAACGUUGUUUACUGAAACUAGGGGCAAGCGGAACAAGGAAGUUAACCUUUAAAAUGGAGAAUGAAGAACAGGGGAGCUGAACAUAUGGAUACAUUGGUUCUUUGGAGAGAAUCUCAGAACUCACUGUACUUAACAAUUUACAGUCGUCUAAAAUCUUUGAAGAGGAAUGUAUUAUAUCCUACCAUAAAUAAGUUGGGUGAUCACUUGUUCUGAUUCUGUUUCAUCCAAAAUAAAAUGUGGAUAC